This 487-nucleotide ribosomal RNA is filed under the name uncultured bacterium. RNAcentral's name for it is "bacterial SSU rRNA". It matches the Rfam family "Bacterial small subunit ribosomal RNA", at positions 28 to 507 of the family's 1533-position model. The record is from RNAcentral.
GAUGAACGCUAGCGGGAGGCUUAACACAUGCAAGUCGAGGGGCAGCAUAGGGUAGCAAUACUCUGAUGGCGACCGGCAAACGGGUGAGUAACGCGUAUGCAACCUACCCUGUACAGGGGGAUAACCCGGAGAAAUUCGGACUAAUAUCCCGUAAUAAUAUCCGGAGGCAUCUUUGGAUAUUUAAAGUUCCGACGGUACGGGAUGGGCAUGCGUAACAUUAGCUGGUUGGUAAGGUAACGGCUUACCAAGGCUAUGAUGUUUAGGGGUCCUGAGAGGGUGGUCCCCCACACUGGUACUGAGACACGGACCAGACUCCUACGGGAGGCAGCAGUGAGGAAUAUUGGUCAAUGGGCGCAAGCCUGAACCAGCCAUCCCGCGUGCAGGAAGACGGCCCUAUGGGCUGUAAACUGCUUUUCCAGGGAGAGAAACUUACGCACGUGUUGCGUGACUGACGGUACCCUGGGAAUAAGCAUCGGCUAACUCCGUG